RNAcentral lists this ribosomal RNA (454 nucleotides) under Bradyrhizobium elkanii. RNAcentral describes it as "bacterial LSU rRNA". It matches the Rfam family "Bacterial large subunit ribosomal RNA", at positions 1 to 416 of the family's 2925-position model. Lineage: Bacteria; Pseudomonadati; Pseudomonadota; Alphaproteobacteria; Hyphomicrobiales; Nitrobacteraceae. The record is from RNAcentral.
AAUCAAGUGCCUUAAGGGUGUUCGGUGGAUGCCUUGGCGCUGAGAGGCGAUGAAGGACGUGCUACGCUGCGAUAAGCCGUGGGGAGCUGCGAAGAAGCUUUGAUCCGCGGAUUUCCGAAUGGGGAAACCCACCUUCGAUAGCCGGAACUCCAAGACCUUGUGUGUUGGGGUUCGACCAGAAAUGCGAGAAAUCAAACCGCGAGGUUUUGGAUUUCCGGUUAUCAAGAGAAGGUAUGAGACCUCCGAAUAAAAUAGGAGGUUUUAAGCAAACCCAGGGAACUGAAACAUCUAAGUACCUGGAGGAAAGGACAUCAAUCGAGACUCCGUUAGUAGUGGCGAGCGAACGCGGACCAGGCCAGUGAUACAUCAAAGACAAUCGGAACCUGUCAGGAAAGCAGGGCCUCAGAGGGUGAUAGCCCCGUACGAGUAAUGCGAUGAUGUAUCCACGAGUCGG